This 253-nucleotide ribosomal RNA is filed under the name uncultured bacterium. RNAcentral describes it as "partial 16S ribosomal RNA". It matches the Rfam family "Bacterial small subunit ribosomal RNA", at positions 524 to 776 of the family's 1533-position model. The record is from RNAcentral.
UACAGAGGGUGCAAGCGUUGUUCGGAAUUAUUGGGCGUAAAGGGAGUGUAGGUGGCUUGGAAAGUCUUGUGUGAAAUCUUUGGGCUUAGCCUAAAACGUGCAUAAGAAACUGCCUCGCUAGAGUACUGGAGAGGAUAGUGGAAUUCCCGGUGUAGAGGUGAAAUUCGUAGAGAUCGGGAGGAACACCAGUGGCGAAGGCGGCUAUCUGGUCAGUAACUGACACUGAAACUCGAGAGCACGGGGAGCAAACAGG